CCCUUAGAUGUCCUGGGCCGCACGCGCGCUACACUGAUGCAUGCAACGAGUUUAUAACCUUGGCCUGAAAGGUCUGGGUAAUCUUUUGAACGUGCAUCGUGAUAGGGAUAGAUUAUUGCAAUUGUUAAUCUUGAACGAGGAAUUCCUAGUAAACGCGAGUCAUCAGCUCGCAUUGAUUACGUCCCUGCCCUUUGUACACACCGCCCGUCGCUCCUACCGAUUGAGUGGUCCGGUGAGGCUUCGGGAUCUGAGCGGAAAGAGCGUUUCGCUGUUUCUGCCCGGAAAACUCAGUCGAACCUUAUCAUUUAGAGGAAGGAGAAGUCGUAACA
This 329-nucleotide ribosomal RNA is filed under the name uncultured eukaryote. Its description in RNAcentral is "partial 18S ribosomal RNA". It matches the Rfam family "Eukaryotic small subunit ribosomal RNA", at positions 1470 to 1796 of the family's 1831-position model. The record is from RNAcentral.